RNAcentral lists this ribosomal RNA (253 nucleotides) under uncultured bacterium. RNAcentral describes it as "partial 16S ribosomal RNA". It matches the Rfam family "Bacterial small subunit ribosomal RNA", at positions 524 to 776 of the family's 1533-position model. The record is from RNAcentral.
UACAGAGGUCUCAAGCGUUGUUCGGAUUCAUUGGGCGUAAAGGGCGCGUAGGCUGCGGGGUAAGUCGGGUGUGAAAUCUCAGAGCUCAACUCUGAAACUGCACUCGAUACUGCUUUGCUUGAGGACUGGAGAGGAGAUUGGAAUUCACGGUGUAGCAGUGAAAUGCGUAGAUAUCUGGAGGAACACCGGUGGCGAAGGCGGCAUCCUGGACCAACACUGACGCUGAGGAGCGAAAGCCAGGGGAGCAAACGGG